AUGCAAUCAGUCCGCUCUCUCUUCUCCCAAAGAAAGGGCUCAGCUGCUUGGCCUCACCAUCCACCCUUCCUCUACCCCCACCCCCAGUCCUACCCGCACUAUCGCCUUUGCCAGAAAAGGGGAGAAGUCUUUUGGGGGGGCUGUUUCAUCACUACCACAACACACACACACACACACACACACACACACACACACACACACACACACACAGACACUCUGUGCCCAAGCUCUGGGUGCCCACACCCGUCUUGCAUGAGAGGAGCAAGGAGAGGUGGCAGAGCUAUCGUGCAGAAGGAGCAGCAAUUAUAUAACUCGCGUUUGGGUUCUCCUGGAAGAUGGAAGAAGGGCGACAGGAUGACAGCACAUACAUAUAUUCAGUCAGAUUCUUCCCCAGAAGUAACGCAAGGAAGAUUAAAAACUGCUGACAUUGUGGAAAAAAAUUUAUGGCGUCUCACAAGAAGUGAUCAGUAAGAGUUCAUUGCCUAUAGAAUUCCCCCUUACCAAAUAUUUUAUGGGUGUUUAUCUGAUUUGUAGCACUUUCCACCUUUUUUUUUUUUGCUUCUAAAAACAUAAGAAGAUCUUUAUUAACUAUUUGAUAUGGCCCAGGAAAAAACAGGGUGUUGGUCAUAGGGAAAGAUAACACAGUGCUUCUCUAAUGGCCAAGCAGAGAUUUCUUUUUUUGCUCAUUACUUCAAAUUAAUAAUUAGAGAAGUUCUUAAUCUUUAGAGUCAUAAAGGACCUUAGAGAUUUUCUGAGGGGGAGCUGCAUAUUUCAAAUGAAAAAUGUAACACCUAAGAAACAACUGAGGUGCAUACCUGAGCCUCUUGCUUCAAAUCAGUGUUCUCUCUACUCUGCCAUGCUGCCUCUUCAUUAUAGCUCAGAAUCAUUUACCUAUUCAGAAUUGAAUAUGCCACCAAGAGGGCAUAUAAUAAUUGCUGUUGUUAUUGUUAUGUAUUUUACAUUUGUAUUAUAUGGUUUGUGUGUUGUGUCAUAAUAAUAACCAGCAGUUGUUAUUUGAAAGCUUUCUACAUUAUUAAUUUAUUUUAUCCUCAAAACAUAUAUAUAUGAGGUUAAUUGCUAUAAUUAUUUAUUUUAUAAAUAGAGAAUCUAAGGUAGGCAGAGGUUAAGUGAUUCAUCAAUGCCCUGCUAGUAAAGGUCUGAGGCCAUAUUUGAAUUCAGGUCUUCAUGACUUAAGGACCAGUGCUUAUUCACUGCACUACUGGCCACACCUUUUCUCCUGAACAACAAUUAACUGUUUCCUGUGUUCUGUGAUAAGUACUUGGAAUAGACUUAAUAUAAAAGUAAACAAAAUGAUCUCUUCCUUUUGGGAGCUGAAAUUCUAUUGGGAAGAAGACAGUAUUUCCUAGGGGGGUUUCAAAGAACCUGGGGGCUGUGGUGUGGCCUGGAGGUCACUGCUCAUCUAUAGGAGGUAGGGAGACAGUCCCAGCUUCUACUGAGAUGGAAUUGGUCAUCGAUGUCAGGAGCCUGUGGCCACCAAGUCCAUGUCUUAAUCAUUCUAGGAGCACCAAUCCGUGGUAUCAGGCCUUGGGUUUAGUAGACGCUUAAUAAUCUUUUUCGAAUGACCUUGAAUUCCAUGGUAAAAGACUACAGUCACUGAUUCCCUACAAAUCGUUUCAUUUCCUAGGCUAACAAAACUCAGGAUGGAAUCACAGAUCAGUUAAAAACUGGCCUUGUGCCCUUGCCAAGACCAGAAUAGGCAUGUGGCAGAAUUUGGAAAUAGGCAGUCUUUGGUGCUUUAUCAGCUCUAGUAGUUUUAGGAGAAAAUGAAAUAGAUCUCUGUUUGUCUGGUUUAUUUGGUCUGGCAGUCUUGAACCACAUUUUCUUAAGUAUAUCUAAGCUAAUCAAGAAGCAGUGAUUAGGGUUCAGGGGAUGUUUUUGUAAUUUUGUCCUUGCUCCACUUUCACAGCCAGGCAGUUAGGUGGCACAUUGGAUAGAGCACUGGGCUUAGACCCAGGCAUGAGUUCAAGUCCAGCCUCAGACACUUAAUAGCUAUGUGACUUAACCCAGUUUGCUUCAGUUUUUCAUCCAUAAAAUGAGCUGGAGAAAGAAAUGGCAAACCAGUCUAGUAUCUCUGCCAAGAAAACCCCAAAUAGGGUCACAAAGAGUUGGACAAGAGAAAAAAAUGACUAAAAAUAGUCUCUUAGUAAAUAUCCAUUUGCAAAAGCUUUUUUCCAAAAAGCAGUUAGGCAAACUGAAGAAAGCAACGCCAGUUAUAAUUAUUACAAUAAACAGCCUAGUUCUCAAGAAUUAAAGAAAACU
Monodelphis domestica (gray short-tailed opossum) is the source of this 2280-nucleotide long non-coding RNA. The record is from Ensembl. NCBI's taxonomy places the organism in Eukaryota, Metazoa, Chordata, Mammalia, Didelphimorphia, Didelphidae.